Long non-coding RNA from Mauremys reevesii (Reeves's turtle), 533 nucleotides. RefSeq lists it as uncharacterized. The record is from RefSeq and is a predicted model, not a curated record. NCBI's taxonomy places the organism in Eukaryota, Metazoa, Chordata, Testudines, Geoemydidae. The transcript is spliced from 2 exons.
AGUUCCCUUCAAUGCAAAGUCCACAACUGUACAGCCACCAAGUAAAACCCAACAUGCUGGACUGCUUAAAGUCAGUUCUUUGAGAACUGGCAUUUCAGCUUCAACCACUUGGCACAUAACACUUGUCUGGCAAAAGCAGUGCAUCUUUAGUAGGGAACCCCUGUGAGGACUUGUACAAUGAUUGUAGUUUUCUGGAUGGUUUUUGUUUUGGGAACAUCACUGAAGAAGAAGUUGCACCUAGCAUCAGGUUGGACUCAUUCUGGCUGGAAAAAGAAAGAUGAUUCACACAAGAAGUAAUGGAUGCAGUCCUGCCACUGACAACUAAAUGCAGAGUUAUUAUUGGUAUCAAGAGUGACAAGGGCAUUCCAUUACAAAUGCAGCUCUGCAGCUAAACACACACCAAUGUACAACACCUGUUGGUGGUUUAAAGAAAAACUAUCCAGGCCAUGUCCAGUGACUAGCACCUGACAGUCCUCAACAUGGUCAAGCAUAUUGUUCAGGUUGUUGGUUUCACAUAAAGCAAUUGAAUGCCA